RNAcentral lists this ribosomal RNA (497 nucleotides) under uncultured bacterium. RNAcentral's name for it is "partial 16S ribosomal RNA". It matches the Rfam family "Bacterial small subunit ribosomal RNA", at positions 28 to 507 of the family's 1533-position model. The record is from RNAcentral.
GAUGAACGCUGGCGGCGUGCCUAAUACAUGCAAGUCGAGCGAACGGACGAGUAUCUUGCUUCUCUGAUGUUAGCGGCGGACGGGUGAGUAACACGUGUAUAACCUACCUAUAAUACUGGUAUAACUUCGGGAAACCGUAUCUAAUACCGGAUAAUAUUUUGAACCGCAUGGUUCAAUAGUUAAAGACGGUCUUUCUGUCUCUUCUAGAUGUAUCCGCGCUGCAUUAGCUAGUUGGUAAGGUAACGGCUUACCAAGGCAACGAUGCAUAGCCGACCUGAGAGGGUGAUCGGACACACUGGAACUGAGACACGGAACAGACACCUACGGGAGGCAGCAGUAGGGAAUGUUACGCAAUGGGCGAAAGGAUGACGGAGCAAAGGCGCGUGAGGGAAGAAGGUCUUCGGAUCGUAAAACACUGUUAUGAGGGAAGAAAAAAUGGGUAAGAAAAAGAGAACAGAAUGACGGUAACUAAAAAGAAAGCCACGGCUAACUACGUG